UAGCCGAGUGGUUAGGGUGUUUGACUCCCGGCCGAAAGGUUCUGGGUUCGAAACCCCGACGUCU
Non-coding RNA from Merluccius polli (Benguela hake), 64 nucleotides. The record is from the annotation of a GenBank genome assembly. NCBI's taxonomy places the organism in Eukaryota, Metazoa, Chordata, Actinopteri, Gadiformes, Merlucciidae.